UUCCUGAUUUUCAGUUUUUCGUUCUCUCUCUUCCUUUCUUUUUCUCUCUCCUCUUGCAAAACCUCUCGUUCGACCUCAUUUCAAUGUUUGAUUUUCAGGACUUCGUGUUCUUCAAUGUUCAAGUUUCGUUGUUCCUACAAUUUUUUCUUCUUCUUGCGAUUUUCUCUCUUUCAAUUCGCCAGGAUUCUUGUCUAAAGAAGACGAUAAUCAGGGUAAUCCAAUGCGUAGACAAGGGAAACAUGGCCAGAAGGAAAAAGAUAAAUAUGUUAAGAUUGUAAGUGUUGUUUUGUUUGUCUAUGUUUUGAUCCAUUGACUUUGGUCUUGGUUUUUUGCUGCACUCGGGUAUGGUGCAGUUUUAUGGUUAUUCUGCUGAUGUUAGUCGUGAACUAUAGGUUGCUGGUUCAGCUUCUUUUAUGUAGUUUGUUUAUGUUUUUCUUUAAAAUGUGGAUCAGUAAAAUUCUACGAUCAUGAUAACGAUGCAUAGAUAGCACACCCCUUGGUAAAUUCUAGUCAGUAGUUGCUUGACUUGGUUCAAGCUGAUCUUGCAGUGCCAACUUCAGCUAGCACUCGAUUUCUAAUUGCAGUUGGUUUUAUGAGCUGAAAAGUCAGGUUUGAGAUGUUGUUUGCAGUUGGUACAUUGGUUCAAGUUGUUGUCUAUUUUGUUGAGCUUCUGUAGUUAGGUGUUGUGAGGAGUUUGUGGUUAAUCUUUACUCUUUGUAUUGUUUGUUUAUUUUUAGUUUGAAAACCUUUAAUUUGGCUUCCAUUACUCCAAUACUCGGAGUUUCUAUGUUGUACAGAUACUUUUGAGUUUUUUUAAUUUACUUUUGAGAUUUUUUAAUUUACGUUUGAGUUAAUAUUAUUUACUUUUGAUUUUUUAUGUUCCUCUUAAUCCUAUAACAAUUUAAUUCUUAGACUUUGAUUCAAGGCAGUCAGGCAAGUCUCCUGGAUGACAAGUCCACAAAUUUAAGUGCAUAAUUGCAUGACAUUUUUCUAUACAGAGUUCCAUUUAACUUGUGUCCUGCUAUGUUCAGAUAGUUAAUCAAGGGCAGGGAUAACAACGACAUAGGAAACGACCACAUAAAUUUAUUUGAAGAAAUGUCCAGGUUUUUGAGCUGAUAAUAUGACUCAAUUUGAGCAGGAAUACCAGAUCUAAACUUAUUAUUUCUUAAGAUGAGAGAAAUCAGGUCCAAGCGAGUUACUCUCCAGGUUGAGCAUUUCAAGGUUCUUCAGUCCCCUAAGAUCAGGUACUUCUCCAGGAAACUCAUUAUUUGCAAGUGUCAGACUCUGAGACCACUCAAUUUACCCAAACUCUUUGGUAACGACCCAUCGAAAGAGUUGUUGAUCAAACUCAGAGCAUUCAGAGCAGGAAAUGAACCCAGUAUAUCAGGGAUUUCACCACUAAACUUGUUAUCAUCAAGUACAAUACCUUGAAGGUUUGUCAGAGAUGAAAUUUCCCCAGGGAUCUUUCCAUAUAAGAAGUUUGGUCUACUUUCUACAUUUUAAUUAUUAUGUAUUGGCUAAUUAGUUUUCUACUUUUAUUAUUUAGUUUUUGUAUUGUUUUACUUACUUUUAAUCCAAAAACCUUUACUUUGACCUCCGAGCAUAUACUUGUUUCUUAUAAUUUGGAUCAGUUUGUAGAUUGAUGAUGAAAGUUAAUGACUUGGAGUUUCUUUGCUCGAUCAA
Spinacia oleracea (spinach) is the source of this 1683-nucleotide long non-coding RNA. RefSeq lists it as uncharacterized. Lineage: Eukaryota; Viridiplantae; Streptophyta; Magnoliopsida; Caryophyllales; Amaranthaceae. The record is from RefSeq and is a predicted model, not a curated record. The transcript has 3 exons.